This 338-nucleotide small RNA is filed under the name Histoplasma capsulatum var. duboisii H88. RNAcentral's name for it is "Histoplasma capsulatum H88 hypothetical RNA". The record is from RNAcentral. Lineage: Eukaryota; Fungi; Ascomycota; Eurotiomycetes; Onygenales; Ajellomycetaceae.
CCCCCAGGAAGAUGACUUCAAUUCGCAUUACGAAAAUUUACUGCUGGACACCAUAUUCCAGGCUCUCUUAGAUUUUAAGCACUGUGUCACACGCGACCAGCAUGGAAUCGUCGAUUUGGUCAUUGUUAUGAUCUCAAACUUGAAGACUGUGCGUGAGUGUUCAAGUUCUGAUGGUUCCCUCAGCGAAGAGAAGCUUGAGAAUGCUCUUAAAAAUCUUUGCAACAAUGGUGGGAUGGUUCCGCUUCACAUACGGGCCCAGAAUACAGGCAUAUUGGUCGGCAAGGUCGCCAACUCCGUUAAUUUCGAGUUAUUUGAACUAUCUCCACUCAAUCAAGCGG